CAGCAGUUGCCAUGACACUCAUGACAGAAGAGACAUUAAUUCAAGGUAUAACUUCAGAAAGAAUGACAAGUCAGAUAUUGCUGUACCAAGUACCAUUAACCCCCUUCAUGCAUGCCUGGCAAGUCUUAUCAGUUAGCAAUUCCCUCUCAGUACAGAUGAAAUCAAUAUUUCCACAAUGAAAGUUCCUGAAUUUCAAGACAGCUUCAGUCCUUGCAUGUUUUGUUUCAGAUUGAGCAACUCUUUUUCUUGCCUUGUUUUCUCCAAUUUGAAGGCCAUCUUGUUGGCUUUCUUCUCCAUUCUGCGUUCCUUCCGCUCCUCCUUUAUUGCCUGCUUCCUGGCUUUGCGGUCCUCUUUGCUCUCAUUUUUGGAUCGGGGCUGUGUCGAUGCUCUUGGCAGGUCUCUGUCAUUAAUCAUUUGCAUGCGUUCAACCUGCUUAGCAGUAAGACCUUUCUGAGGCAGGACGUGCAGAGGGAUUCCAGUCUUCGAGGAAAUCUUUAUUGGUUUUGGCUUUGAUGGCUCCUCGAUAAGCUUUGGGUGAUUAUAUAAGUUUGAAUACGUACUCAAAAUAGAUUCACAAUCCCACUUUUCUUUUGGUUCCUCAACAACCAGAGCUACUAUUUCUUCUUUUUCCUCAUCGCUGUCUUCAUUUGCAGGAGUGUCUUCAAACGGUUCAAGAGUAUCCAAUUUCACACAGUUCUUUGCUUUCUCUUUGUAGUAAUCACUCAAGACUUCCUCCAACCGAGUGUUGUCUGCGUUAAUAUAGCCUUCUAAUUCCACAUUAUCCAAGGCUCCAAUCUCAUCCUCAUCAAACUGUUCAAAAAACUUCUCAAAUCUGUCAUCCAAGAGGGUUAACUGCUCAUUCCUUCUCAUUACCGAAGAUGUCAUUGAAUAUUCCGUGAAACGACUCCUUGUUUCUUCCUGCAUAAACAGGAACUCCCUUCCAUGGCCAUUAACCCCAUCGUUUGACAAAGGGCCGUCUGAAUCGUAAUCUUCAUCAUUACUACAACUAUCCUUUUCAUCACUGUCAUCCUCCACGUCUUCCCAUUCAUCUUCAUCCUCAGCAUCUGAUCUCCCUUCUUUUGGUUUGUUUGCUUGUAGAACAAAAUCAUCUUCCAGAACAUUUUCUGGAUUAUCAAAGUCAAAAUCAUCAUCAAGAGCUGCAACAAUAUCAGGGUCAAAAUCCAGCCGUGGUCCUGAAACAGGGGCUGCUUUAUUUAGCAGGCCCACGUCCUCUUCAAAUUCAGUGGCAAAUACUGAGGAAGGCAACUUAAUAGAUGGAGCAGCAAUUCGUUGAAUUUCAUCCUCUAUGUGACCCUCACUUGUGAUGACAAUUCUGCUUUGCUGUCCACGGAAAGAAGGGACAAGCUCAGAGGGGCCAGAUGCUUCUUUCAAAUGCUGCAAAUAGUCAUAGUCAUCAUCAAAAAAGACUCCAUAUUUCCGCUGCUCCUCCCUUCUCUGCUCCUCAUGACCCCUCUGGGCAGGCAGCAGGACCCUCUGCGGGGCCGUGUCAUCAGCAGCAAGGGGGUCCUUCUGGCUUCUGUGCACUAAGUGAAACGUUACCGCCUUCUUCUUCUCUAUGAAGGGCUUCUUCUUCUUGUGAGGCAUGGCGUAAGCACAGCCCCCAGACCGCCACCUGCACGCACGCCCACACGGCCUGGCCCCACACGGAACAGCUGCGGCGUGCGUGCGGGGAGCAACCACUGGCCGCAGGGGGAUAUCAUGGAGCCG
RNAcentral lists this long non-coding RNA (1728 nucleotides) under Gallus gallus (chicken). The record is from RNAcentral. Lineage: Eukaryota; Metazoa; Chordata; Aves; Galliformes; Phasianidae.